This 72-nucleotide transfer RNA is filed under the name Candidatus Harrisonbacteria bacterium RIFCSPHIGHO2_02_FULL_40_20. Its description in RNAcentral is "tRNA-Arg". It matches the Rfam family "tRNA". From Rfam's summary of the family: Transfer RNA (tRNA) molecules are approximately 80 nucleotides in length. Their secondary structure includes four short double-helical elements and three loops (D, anti-codon, and T loops). The record is from RNAcentral. RNAcentral also lists the same sequence under 1 other name. Lineage: Bacteria; Candidatus Harrisoniibacteriota.
GUCCCCGUAGUUCAAUGGACAGAACGACUCCCUUCUAAGGAGUAGAUCGAAGUUCGAUUCUUCGCGGGGACA